This 249-nucleotide ribosomal RNA is filed under the name uncultured Staphylococcus sp. RNAcentral's name for it is "partial 16S ribosomal RNA". It matches the Rfam family "Bacterial small subunit ribosomal RNA", at positions 90 to 334 of the family's 1533-position model. The record is from RNAcentral. Lineage: Bacteria; Bacillati; Bacillota; Bacilli; Caryophanales; Staphylococcaceae.
CGUUAGCGGCGGACGGGUGAGUAACACGUGGGUAACCUACCAUAAGACUGGGAUAACUCCGGGAAACCGGGGCUAAUACCGGAUAACACAUGAAACCGCAUGGUUUCAUGAUGAAAGACGGUUUUGCUGUCACUUAUAGAUGGACCCGCGGCGUAUUAGCUAGUUGGUAAGGUAACGGCUUACCAAGGCAACGAUACGUAGCCGACCUGAGAGGGUGAUCGGCCACACUGGAACUGAGACACGGUCCAG